GAUGAACGCUAGCUACAGGCUUAACACAUGCAAGUCGAGGGGCAGCAUUUUAGUUUGCUUGCAAACUAAAGAUGGCGACCGGCGCACGGGUGAGUAACACGUAUCCAACCUGCCGAUAACUCGGGGAUAGCCUUUCGAAAGAAAGAUUAAUAUCCGAUAGUAUAUUAAAACCGCAUGGUUUUACUAUUAAAGAAUUUCGGUUAUCGAUGGGGAUGCGUUCCAUUAGUUUGUUGGCGGGGUAACGGCCCACCAAGACAACGAUGGAUAGGGGUUCUGAGAGGAAGGUCCCCCACAUUGGAACUGAGACACGGUCCAAACUCCUACGGGAGGCAGCAGUGAGGAAUAUUGGUCAAUGGACGAGAGUCUGAACCAGCCAAGUAGCGUGAAGGAUGACUGCCCUAUGGGUUGUAAACUUCUUUUAUAUGGGAAUAAAGUAUUCCACGUGUGGGAUUUUGUAUGUACCAUAUGAAUAAGGAUCGGCUAACUCCGUGCCAGCAGCCGCGGUAAUACGGAGGAUCCGAGCGUUAUCCGGAUUUAUUGGGUUUAAAGGGAGCGUAGGUGGAUUGUUAAGUCAGUUGUGAAAGUUUGCGGCUCAACCGUAAAAUUGCAGUUGAAACUGGCAGUCUUGAGUACAGUAGAGGUGGGCGGAAUUCGUGGUGUAGCGGUGAAAUGCUUAGAUAUCACGAAGAACUCCGAUUGCGAAGGCAGCUCACUAGACUGCAACUGACACUGAUGCUCGAAAGUGUGGGUAUCAAACAGGAUUAGAUACCCUGGUAGUCCACACAGUAAACGAUGAAUACUCGCUGUUUGCGAUAUACAGUAAGCGGCCAAGCGAAAGCAUUAAGUAUUCCACCUGGGGAGUACGCCGGCAACGGUGAAACUCAAAGGAAUUGACGGGGGCCCGCACAAGCGGAGGAACAUGUGGUUUAAUUCGAUGAUACGCGAGGAACCUUACCCGGGCUUAAAUUGCAUUUGAAUAAUCUGGAAACAGGUUAGCCGCAAGGCAAAUGUGAAGGUGCUGCAUGGUUGUCGUCAGCUCGUGCCGUGAGGUGUCGGCUUAAGUGCCAUAACGAGCGCAACCCUUAUCUUUAGUUACUAACAGGUCAUGCUGAGGACUCUAGAGAGACUGCCGUCGUAAGAUGUGAGGAAGGUGGGGAUGACGUCAAAUCAGCACGGUCCUUACGUCCGGGGCUACACACGUGUUACAAUGGGGGGUACAGAAGGCAGCUACCUGGCGACAGGAUGCUAAUCCCAAAAACCUCUCUCAGUUCGGAUCGAAGUCUGCAACCCGACUUCGUGAAGCUGGAUUCGCUAGUAAUCGCGCAUCAGCCAUGGCGCGGUGAAUACGUUCCCGGGCCUUGUACACACCGCCCGUCAAGCCAUGAAAGCCGGGGGUACCUGAAGUACGUAACCGCAAGGAGCGUCCUAGGGUAAAACUGGUAAUUGGGGCUAAGA
Molecule: ribosomal RNA, 1455 nt
Filed under: uncultured organism
Description: SSU rRNA
Rfam family: Bacterial small subunit ribosomal RNA
Source: RNAcentral